ACCCGUCAGGUGACGUACAGAAACCACAUAGAGGCCGGUAGCUCCAGGCGAGUGUCCAUGCGAAUGCGAAGCCGAACCGGAAGACGGAGUGCAGGUAGAUGUGGCACUUGGGCGGGGAUA
This 120-nucleotide non-coding RNA is filed under the name Roseimaritima multifibrata. The record is from RNAcentral. Lineage: Bacteria; Pseudomonadati; Planctomycetota; Planctomycetia; Pirellulales; Pirellulaceae.